RNAcentral lists this non-coding RNA (159 nucleotides) under Thermus brockianus. The record is from RNAcentral. Lineage: Bacteria; Thermotogati; Deinococcota; Deinococci; Thermales; Thermaceae.
AGCCAGGUCCGUUGCCCUGGUGCCUGGGCGCGUAGUCCAGGCUUAAAGUGGGGAAGUCCGGUGCAAGUCCGGCGCUGUCCCGCAACGGUAACCGGCCAAGCUACGCGGUUCGCUUCGCAGGCCGGAAGCCCGAAUACCUGCCAGGGCCGCCCGCCUUGC